GGGGCGUAUUCAGAGCCGGGGGCCUGAAGAAGUGGCUCCUCUGUUUCCAGCACACCCAACGGGAAGCUGGGUUCAUUGUGACAAGGGACACAAACCUCAUGACCUGUCUAUGAACAAAUACCCAACAUGU
RNAcentral lists this small nucleolar RNA (130 nucleotides) under Catagonus wagneri (Chacoan peccary). RNAcentral describes it as "Small nucleolar RNA SNORA11 (ENSCWAG00000004741.1)". It matches the Rfam family "Small nucleolar RNA SNORA11". From Rfam's summary of the family: U107 (SNORA11) is a member of the H/ACA class of snoRNAs that guide the sites of modification of uridines to pseudouridines. This snoRNA was identified by RT-PCR from blood cells and its expression confirmed by Northern blot analysis. Lineage: Eukaryota; Metazoa; Chordata; Mammalia; Artiodactyla; Tayassuidae. The record is from Rfam by way of RNAcentral.